This 252-nucleotide ribosomal RNA is filed under the name uncultured bacterium. Its description in RNAcentral is "partial 16S ribosomal RNA". It matches the Rfam family "Bacterial small subunit ribosomal RNA", at positions 524 to 776 of the family's 1533-position model. The record is from RNAcentral.
UACGAAGGGGGCUAGCGUUGCUCGGAAUCACUGGGCGUAAAGGGAGCGUAGGCGGGUCUUUAAGUCAGGGGUGAAAUCCUGGAGCUCAACUCCAGAACUGCCUUUGAUACUGAGGAUCUUGAGUUCGGGAGAGGUGAGUGGAACUGCGAGUGUAGAGGUGAAAUUCGUAGAUAUUCGCAAGAACACCAGUGGCGAAGGCGGCUCACUGGCCCGAUACUGACGCUGAGGCACGAAAGCGUGGGAGCAAACAGG